GAUGAACGCUGGCGGCGUGCCUAAUACAUGCAAGUCGAGCGAACGGACGAUAAGCUUUUGUCUUUGAUGUUAGCGGCGGACGGGCGAGUAAGACGUGCAUAACCUACUUAUAUUUCUGGGAUAACUACGGGAAACCGGUGCUGCUACUACAGAAUACUUUCAACCGCAUGGUUCAAAAGUUAUUGACGGUCUUGCUGUCACUUAUAGAUGGUUCCGCGCUGCAUUAGCUAGUUGGUAAGGUAAAGGCUUACCAAGGCAACGAUGCAUAGCCGACCUGAGAGGAUGAUCGGCCACACUGGAACUGAGACACGGUCCAGACUCCUACGGGAGGCAGCAGUGGGGAAUCUUGGACAAUGGGCGCAAGCCUGAUGCAGCAACACCGCGUGAGUGAAGAAGGCCUUCGGAUCGUAAAACUCUGUUGUUGGGGAAGAACAGAUGUGGAUGAAUCUGCGGCCGUCUUGACGGUACCUAAACAGAAAGCCCCGGCUAACUUCGUG
This 497-nucleotide ribosomal RNA is filed under the name uncultured bacterium. Its description in RNAcentral is "partial 16S ribosomal RNA". It matches the Rfam family "Bacterial small subunit ribosomal RNA", at positions 28 to 507 of the family's 1533-position model. The record is from RNAcentral.